CGGAACGUCCUCCGACUCGUUCUCACUGCCAGCUCUCGCUGCAAAGCACAUCUUUGAUGUCAUUUUUUCACUUUCAUGUCGAUGGCUCUCUCGGGCCACGUCUACUCAUUCACAACUUUCAGCGAUGGAUGUCUCGGUUCGAUCAACGAUGAAGGGCGCAGCGAAGUGCGAUAAGCAUUGUGAAUUGCAGAAUUCCGUGAACCGACAGGGACUUGAACGCAUAUUGUGCUUUUGGGAUAUCCCUGAAAGCAUGCCUGCUUCAGUGUCUACGCUUUAUUGUUCCAGCAGCUGUAGCUCCUUACGGGGCAUGCUGCUCGUGAUCUCCUGCACCUCAGGACGUGCUCUCGGCGCUCUUGAGGUGUUCGAUGGACAAGGCCCUGCUUCGACAGCCAGCUUACUGAGCGCACUUCGGUGUCAUUUGGUUGCUGCGCGAUGUUGGGGCUUGAGGCUUUGCUUUCCUUUUUCCUGUGCCUCGCCCUCUGGGUGUGGCACAGCUUUCAAGACAUGAAGUCAGGUUGGCAAACCCGCUGAAUUUAAGCA
RNAcentral lists this ribosomal RNA (540 nucleotides) under uncultured eukaryote. RNAcentral's name for it is "eukaryotic LSU rRNA". The stretch from base 114 to 268 matches the Rfam family "5.8S ribosomal RNA". The record is from RNAcentral.